GUGCUCGCUUCGGCAGCACAUAUACUAAAAUUGGAAUGAUACAGAGAAGAUUAGCACGGUUCCUGCACAAGGGUGACACAUACAUUCAUGAAGUUUUCCAUAUUUUU
RNAcentral lists this small nuclear RNA (107 nucleotides) under Salvator merianae (Argentine black and white tegu). The record is from RNAcentral. Lineage: Eukaryota; Metazoa; Chordata; Lepidosauria; Squamata; Teiidae.